This 278-nucleotide long non-coding RNA is filed under the name Elaeis guineensis (African oil palm). Its description in RNAcentral is "long non-coding RNA (EGUI_LNC012656)". The record is from RNAcentral. Lineage: Eukaryota; Viridiplantae; Streptophyta; Magnoliopsida; Arecales; Arecaceae.
UCAAAUUGCAACCUCUACUGCAUUCAUAAGGGCCACCUCGAUGACCAGCACACUCUACCCUGGCUCAGCAAAUGACCAUGUUGCCUCCACCCAAGCUCUGGUAUCGACAAGUUGCACCUCCGAUGCAUUCGAGACACAUCCACAAGAAGGAAAAGAGAGGGAGCCAAAAAGAAUUUUAUUUCCAAAGGCUUCUCCCAAGAUUACAAUGGAUCCCAUUAAAAGCUAUAACGAGAUAGGAAGAAAAUUCAUCAAAGAUGUGACUCAGUGCCUUCCCCCAC